Molecule: ribosomal RNA, 294 nt
Filed under: Foraminifera environmental sample
Lineage: Eukaryota; Foraminifera
Description: partial Bacterial large subunit ribosomal RNA
Rfam family: Bacterial large subunit ribosomal RNA
Source: RNAcentral
AGGCUGAAAAGCGUAGUCGAUGGGAAACAGGUUAAUAUUCCUGUACUUCUGGUUAUUGCGAUGGAGGGACGGAGAAGGCUAGGCCAGCUUGGCGUUGGUUGUCCAAGUUUAAGGUGGUAGGCUGGAAUCUUAGGUAAAUCCGGGAUUCUAAGGCCGAGAGCUGAUGACGAGUUAUCUUUUAGAUGACGAAGUGGUUGAUGCCAUGCUUCCAAGAAAAGCUUCUAAGCUUCAGGUAACCAGGAACCGUACCCCAAACCGACACAGGUGGUUGGGUAGAGAAUACCAAGGCGCUUG